RNAcentral lists this transfer RNA (74 nucleotides) under Ixodes scapularis (black-legged tick). It matches the Rfam family "tRNA". From Rfam's summary of the family: Transfer RNA (tRNA) molecules are approximately 80 nucleotides in length. Their secondary structure includes four short double-helical elements and three loops (D, anti-codon, and T loops). Lineage: Eukaryota; Metazoa; Arthropoda; Arachnida; Ixodida; Ixodidae. The record is from Rfam by way of RNAcentral.
GGCCUGCUAGCUCAGUCGGUUAGAGCGUCGUGCUAAUAACGCAAAGGUCACGGGUUCGAUCCCUGUGCAGACCA